UGUUUCGGCAAGGGGGUCAUCCCGACUUACCAACCCGAUGCAAACUGCGAAUACCGGAGAAUGUUAUCACGGGAGACACACGGCGGGUGCUAACGUCCGUCGUGAAGAGGGAAACAACCCAGACCGCCAGCUAAGGUCCCAAAGUCAUGGUUAAGUGGGAAACGAUGUGGGAAGGCCCAGACAGCCAGGAUGUUGGCUUAGAAGCAGCCAUCAUUUAAAGAAAGCGUAAUAGCUCACUGGUCGAGUCGGCCUGCGCGGAAGAUGUAACGGGGCUAAACCAUGCACCGAAGCUGCGGCAGCGACGCUUAUGCGUUGUUGGGUAGGGGAGCGUUCUGUAAGCCUGCGAAGGUGUGCUGUGAGGCAUGCUGGAGGUAUCAGAAGUGCGAAUGCUGACAUAAGUAACGAUAAAGCGGGUGAAAAGCCCGCUCGCCGGAAGACCAAGGGUUCCUGUCCAACGUUAAUCGGGGCAGGGUGAGUCGACCCCUAAGGCGAGGCCGAAAGGCGUAGUCGAUGGGAAACAGGUUAAUAUUCCUGUACUUGGUGUUACUGCGAAGGGGGGACGGAGAAGGCUAUGUUGGCCGGGCGACGGUUGUCCCGGUUUAAGCGUGUAGGCUGGUUUUCCAGGCAAAUCCGGAAAAUCAAGGCUGAGGCGUGAUGACGAGGCACUACGGUGCUGAAGCAACAAAUGCCCUGCUUCCAGGAAAAGCCUCUAAGCAUCAGGUAACAUCAAAUCGUACCCCAAACCGACACAGGUGGUCAGGUAGAGAAUACCAAGGCGCUUGAGAGAACUCGGGUGAAGGAACUAGGCAAAAUGGUGCCGUAACUUCGGGAGAAGGCACGCUGAUAUGUAGGUGAAGUCCCUUGCGGAUGGAGCUGAAAUCAGUCGAAGAUACCAGCUGGCUGCAACUGUUUAUUAAAAACACAGCACUGUGCAAACACGAAAGUGGACGUAUACGGUGUGACGCCUGCCCGGUGCCGGAAGGUUAAUUGAUGGGGUCAGCGCAAGCGAAGCUCUUGAUCGAAGCCCCGGUAAACGGCGGCCGUAACUAUAACGGUCCUAAGGUAGCGAAAUUCCUUGUCGGGUAAGUUCCGACCUGCACGAAUGGCGUAAUGAUGGCCAGGCUGUCUCCACCCGAGACUCAGUGAAAUUGAACUCGCUGUGAAGAUGCAGUGUACCCGCGGCAAGACGGAAAGACCCCGUGAACCUUUACUAUAGCUUGACACUGAACAUUGAGCCUUGAUGUGUAGGAUAGGUGGGAGGCUUUGAAGUGUGGACGCCAGUCUGCAUGGAGCCGGCCUUGAAAUACCACCCUUUAAUGUUUGAUGUUCUAACGUGGACCCGUGAUCCGGGUUGCGGACAGUGUCUGGUGGGUAGUUUGACUGGGGCGGUCUCCUCCUAAAGAGUAACGGAGGAGCACGAAGGUUGGCUAAUCCUGGUCGGACAUCAGGAGGUUAGUGCAAUGGCAUAAGCCAGCUUGACUGCGAGCGUGACGGCGCGAGCAGGUGCGAAAGCAGGUCAUAGUGAUCCGGUGGUUCUGAAUGGAAGGGCCAUCGCUCAACGGAUAAAAGGUACUCCGGGGAUAACAGGCUGAUACCGCCCAAGAGUUCAUAUCGACGGCGGUGUUUGGCACCUCGAUGUCGGCUCAUCACAUCCUGGGGCUGAAGUAGGUCCCAAGGGUAUGGCUGUUCGCCAUUUAAAGUGGUACGCGAGCUGGGUUUAGAACGUCGUGAGACAGUUCGGUCCCUAUCUGCCGUGGGCGCUGGAGAACUGAGGGGGGCUGCUCCUAGUACGAGAGGACCGGAGUGGACGCAUCACUGGUGUUCGGGUUGUCAUGCCAAUGGCACUGCCCGGUAGCUAAAUGCGGAAGAGAUAAGUGCUGAAAGCAUCUAAGCACGAAACUUGCCCCGAGAUGAGUUCUCCCUGACCCUUUAAGGGUCCUGAAGGAACGUUGAAGACGACGACGUUGAUAGGCCGGGUGUGUAAGCGCAGCGAUGCGUUGAGCUAACCGGUACUAAUGAACCGUGAGG
RNAcentral lists this ribosomal RNA (2028 nucleotides) under Shigella sonnei. RNAcentral describes it as "partial 23S ribosomal RNA". It matches the Rfam family "Bacterial large subunit ribosomal RNA", at positions 911 to 2915 of the family's 2925-position model. The record is from RNAcentral. Lineage: Bacteria; Pseudomonadati; Pseudomonadota; Gammaproteobacteria; Enterobacterales; Enterobacteriaceae.